Long non-coding RNA from Osmerus eperlanus (European smelt), 697 nucleotides. RefSeq lists it as uncharacterized. Lineage: Eukaryota; Metazoa; Chordata; Actinopteri; Osmeriformes; Osmeridae. The record is from RefSeq and is a predicted model, not a curated record. The transcript is spliced from 4 exons.
UCUUUCAGGCUGGAAACAAUGCAGCAAAGCCUAGAGUGGGCAAAGGGGUACGCUCUUAAAUGUUGCUUCAGCAGACGGCCUGAUAGCUGAAGUGUCCGAGCUCAUGCAGGAAAGUCGCACCCAUGGUCGGCAUGCACAACCAGCCAGUUCCGGUUACCAGGCUCCAUUGACUUGGAGUGGAGCUAGAGGUGCUCCUCAUUAUCACAUCACCGGAGAGCAACUGAGGGGUCUGAUGAUAGAUGGCAGAUAUUCUUCACGUGUUCCAUUCUACACUCAAACCACAUCUAAGGCACUUUGCAUUAACCUGAAGGCAGCUGCCUUCCCAUCAAUGUUGCAGAGGCUGCACAGAAGGUACAGUGUUGCUGCUCUGAAUUCUUUAUAACACAUCGAUGGAAACUACAGACUGAAGGUGGAGGAUAGUCAUCCAUGGUGGCAUUGAUGGUUACAGCUGCCUUGUGUUUCUCCACGCUUCCAGCAACAAGUGCAGCAUUACUAAAUGCUGAGGACACACAGUCCAUCCAGGCUUAGAACAGGUGAUUGCCACCUAUUGAAUUGGAUAACCAUGGACCGGAACAGAUAAUCAAUAUUUUCCUGCAGUAGUGAAUGUAGGUUACGGCUCGACAUUAAAUUAUAACGAGAAGAAGAAGAAGUGAAUGUAGCUUGUUUCAUAACAACAUAGGUUGAUGGAGUGAUAUGG